CUGCGGUGCAUUAGCUAGUUGGUAAGGUAACGGCUUACCAAGGCAAUGAUGCAUAGCCGAGUUGAGAGACUGAUCGGCCACAUUGGGACUGAGACACGGCCCAAACUCCUACGGGAGGCAGCAGUAGGGAAUCUUCCACAAUGGACGAAAGUCUGAUGGAGCAACGCCGCGUGAGUGAAGAAGGGUUUCGGCUCGUAAAGCUCUGUUGGUAGUGAAGAAAGAUAGAGGUAGUAACUGGCCUUUAUUUGACGGUAAUUACUUAGAAAGUCACGGCUAACUACGUGCCGGCAGCCGCGGUAAUACGUAGGUGGCAAGCGUUGUCCGGAUUUAUUGGGCGUAAAGCGAGUGCAGGCGGUUCAAUAAGUCUGAUGUGAAAGCCUUCGGCUCAACCGGAGAAUUGCAUCAGAAACUGUUGAACUUGAGUGCAGAAGAGGAGAGUGGAACUCCAUGUGUAGCGGUGGAAUGCGUAGAUAUCGGGAGGAACACCAGUGGCGAAGGCGGCCUACUGGGCACCAACUGACGCUGAGGCUCGAAAGUGUGGGUAGCAAACAGGAUUAGAUACCCUGGUAGUCCACACCGUAAACGAUGAUUACUAGGUGUUGGAGGAUAGACCCCUUCAGUGCCGCAGU
This 629-nucleotide ribosomal RNA is filed under the name uncultured bacterium. Its description in RNAcentral is "bacterial SSU rRNA". It matches the Rfam family "Bacterial small subunit ribosomal RNA", at positions 231 to 852 of the family's 1533-position model. The record is from RNAcentral.